Molecule: ribosomal RNA, 251 nt
Filed under: uncultured bacterium
Lineage: Bacteria
Description: partial 16S ribosomal RNA
Rfam family: Bacterial small subunit ribosomal RNA
Source: RNAcentral
GCAAGUCGAGGGGUAACAGGGAAGCUUGCUUCCGCUGACGACCGGCGCACGGGUGCGUAACGCGUAUAGAAUCUACCUUAUACUGGAGAAUAGCCCGAAGAAAUUCGGAUUAAUACUCCAUAAUAUUCAGAUACUGCAUAGUAUUUGACUUAAAGUUUCGACGGUAUAAGAUGACUAUGCGUCCCAUUAGCUAGAUGGUAAGGUAACGGCUUACCAUGGCAACGAUGGGUAGGGGGCCUGAGAGGGUUAUC